CUUGAACGCUGGCGGCAGGCCUAACACAUGCAAGUCGAGCGGAUGAAGGGAGCUUGCUCCUGGAUUCAGCGGCGGACGGGUGAGUAAUGCCUAGGAAUCUGCCUGGUAGUGGGGGAUAACGUCCGGAAACGGGCGCUAAUACCGCAUACGUCCUGAGGGAGAAAGUGGGGGAUCUUCGGACCUCACGCUAUCAGAUGAGCCUAGGUCGGAUUAGCUAGUUGGUGGGGUAAAGGCCUACCAAGGCGACGAUCCGUAACUGGUCUGAGAGGAUGAUCAGUCACACUGGAACUGAGACACGGUCCAGACGCCUACGGGAGGCAGCAGUGGGGAAUAUUGGACAAUGGGCGAAAGCCUGAUCCAGCCAUGCCGCGUGUGUGAAGAAGGGCUUCGGAUUGUAAAGCACUUUAAGUUGGGAGGAAGGGCAGUAAGUUAAUACCUUGCUGUUUUGACGUUACCAACAGAAAAGCACCGGCUAACUUCGUG
RNAcentral lists this ribosomal RNA (483 nucleotides) under uncultured bacterium. RNAcentral's name for it is "partial 16S ribosomal RNA". It matches the Rfam family "Bacterial small subunit ribosomal RNA", at positions 30 to 507 of the family's 1533-position model. The record is from RNAcentral.